RNAcentral lists this ribosomal RNA (460 nucleotides) under uncultured bacterium. Its description in RNAcentral is "partial 16S ribosomal RNA". It matches the Rfam family "Bacterial small subunit ribosomal RNA", at positions 338 to 795 of the family's 1533-position model. The record is from RNAcentral.
CCUACGGGUGGCAGCAGUGAGGAAUCUUGGUCAAUGGGCUUACGCCUGAACCAGCCAAGUCGCGUGAGGGAAGACUGCCCUAUGGGUUGUAAACCUCUUUUGUCAGGGAGCAACGCCGGCUACGUGUAGCCGGACUGUGAGUAACUGAAGAAAAAGCAUCGGCUAACUCCGUGCCAGCAGCCGCGGUAAUACGGAUGAUGCGAGCGUUAUCCGGAUUUAUUGGGCUUACAGGGUGCGUAGGCGGAAUGCCAAGUCAGCGGUAACAUCGCGGGGCUCAACCUCGCUCCGCCGUUGAAACUGGCGUUCUUGAGUGGGCGAGAAGUAUGCGGAAUGCGUGGUGUAGCAGUGAAAUGCAUAGAUAUCAGGCAGAACUCCGAUUGCGAAGGCAGCAUACCGGCGCCCAACUGACGCUGAAGCACGAAAGCGUAGGUAGCGAACAGGAUUAGAUACCCUUGUAGUC